Molecule: unclassified non-coding RNA, 259 nt
Filed under: Hevea brasiliensis (rubber tree)
Lineage: Eukaryota; Viridiplantae; Streptophyta; Magnoliopsida; Malpighiales; Euphorbiaceae
Source: RNAcentral
AAUUAUAUGUAAAUGUGACAUAUGAUGGCUUCAAAUUUGUAGAUCCAUAAAAUCGUGUGUUCUAUAUUUCUAUGACUAUGAAAUGAUAUUUAAUGGAAUGAAAUCAAUUUGUUCUGGAAGGCUGAUAAAACGAUCAAGUAGGAGAUUUUUUUUCAUUGAAAUUGGUAGAAUGCUCAAAGAAAACCUUUUCUCAUAUGUAUGUCAUUCUUUUGUAUCAUCUGCAGCAUCUGGGUUUGUGGUCGCCAACAAUUGUAAGAGG